RNAcentral lists this ribosomal RNA (425 nucleotides) under uncultured bacterium. RNAcentral describes it as "bacterial SSU rRNA". It matches the Rfam family "Bacterial small subunit ribosomal RNA", at positions 354 to 796 of the family's 1533-position model. The record is from RNAcentral.
GUGGGGAAUAUUGGACAAUGGGCGAAAGCCUGAUCCAGCCAUGCCGCGUGAGUGAUGAAGGCCCUAGGGUUGUAAAGCUCUUUCAGUGGGGAAGAUAAUGACGGUACCCACAGAAGAAGCCCCGGCUAACUUCGUGCCAGCAGCCGCGGUAAUACGAAGGGGGCUAGCGUUGUUCGGAUUUACUGGGCGUAAAGCGCACGUAGGCGGAUUGGUCAGUUAGAGGUGAAAUCCUGGAGCUCAACUCCAGAACUGCCUUUAAUACUGCCAGUCUAGAGUCCAGAAGAGGUGAGUGGAACUCCUAGUGUAGAGGUGGAAUUCGUAGAUAUUAGGAAGAACACCAGUGGCGAAGGCGGCUCACUGGUCUGGUACUGACGCUGAGGUGCGAAAGCGUGGGGAGCAAACAGGAUUAGAUACCCCAGUAGUCC